Molecule: long non-coding RNA, 639 nt
Organism: Oryza brachyantha (malo sina)
Lineage: Eukaryota; Viridiplantae; Streptophyta; Magnoliopsida; Poales; Poaceae
Exons: 3
Source: RefSeq, a predicted model, not a curated record
AAAAACAAACGACGACCACUAAACCAAGACAGCAGCAAGAACUAUGCUAUCAACCCCCAUCUCCGUCGCCGCCGGGCACGAAGACGCGGACGCGGAGGCGGACGGCUCUGGAGCGGAGCGACGACUCGAGGAGAGGAGCAUCCGCUUCCUUGCUAUUCUAGUCCGAGACUGCUACGGAAGAUUAGAGUUGAAGGAGCUGCUAUACUUGACAACAGAUCGAGCACUACAGAUUCUGAUACAUGCUUAUAUGUUCUUACAUGGGUGUUGCAAGUGCUGCUGCAACAUAUAGAACUUAGACGAUAUUGCAAAGAGCACAUUCUGGUUUCAAAUUUCACACAUACAACCAAAGGCCCAAGGCUACCAUAGGACCUGCGUGGUGUGGGCUGCAACUUGUGGUACUUUUGCUGCUUAUGUUUGUUGAACCAAAAUUGGUAGCUCACAUUUUGUGUUCUGCUAGAAUGUUGUGUGAUUCAUGAACCUGGACGAGCUAGUGUACACAAACUUUUGUUGCUUGUUGUGGAACAAUUGUUUGAUUCUAGAAGUAGGGAUGAAUUCCUUUGAAUAUGAGAUUGUAUCUGUUAUUAGGCUGAUAAACAUUCUGUUGUAUUCUGAUUUAUGGUAUGAGAAAUUGGAUUCAAU